This 227-nucleotide ribosomal RNA is filed under the name Salmonella enterica subsp. enterica serovar Newport. RNAcentral's name for it is "partial 23S ribosomal RNA". It matches the Rfam family "Bacterial large subunit ribosomal RNA", at positions 332 to 561 of the family's 2925-position model. Lineage: Bacteria; Pseudomonadati; Pseudomonadota; Gammaproteobacteria; Enterobacterales; Enterobacteriaceae. The record is from RNAcentral.
GUGGAAGCGUCUGGAAAGGCGCGCGAUACAGGGUGACAGCCCCGUACACAAAAGCGCAUGUGCUGUGAGCUCGAUGAGUAGGGCGGGACACGUGGUAUCCUGUCUGAAUAUGGGGGGACCAUCCUCCAAGGCUAAAUACUCCUGACUGACCGAUAGUGAACCAGUACCGUGAGGGAAAGGCGAAAAGAACCCCGGCGAGGGGAGUGAAAAAGAACCUGAAACCGUGU